This 1885-nucleotide ribosomal RNA is filed under the name Perapion curtirostre. RNAcentral's name for it is "partial 16S ribosomal RNA". The stretch from base 1702 to 1763 matches the Rfam family "tRNA". The record is from RNAcentral. Lineage: Eukaryota; Metazoa; Arthropoda; Insecta; Coleoptera; Brentidae.
GGAACCUGUCCUAUAAUUGAUAAUCCACGAUUUAAAUUACUUACUUUAUUAGUUUGCAUAUCGCUGUAGGUUGAAUAUUUUUUAAGAAUAAUAAUGUUCAAGAUUUUCUAGGAGAAAGUAAAUCAGGUCAAGGUGUAGUUUAUAGGUAAGAAGAGAUGGGUUACAAUAAAUUUAUUUAUGCGGAUUAAUUAUUUAAAAUUUUUAUGAAGUUGGAUUUGAGGGUAAUUUUGAUUAAUUUAUCAGGAUGAUUUUAGCUCUAAAAUGUGCACAUAUCGCCCGUCACUUUCACUAUAAAGUGGAAUAAGUCGUAACAUAGUAGAUGUACUGGAAAGUGUAUCUAGAAAGGCAAAUCAGAGCUUGUUAUAAAGCAUUUUAUUUACAUUAAAAAGUUUAUUGUGAGAGUCAAUAUGAUUUGGAUUAUAUUUAUUAUUAUUAAAUAUUUAUUUUUAUUUAAUUUUAUGAAAAUAAUUUAUUGUUUUAUUAAUAUUAAGAAAUAAUUUAUUUUAUUAUAGGGAAUUAGUAUUGUCAAAGAAAUAAAUAUAAAUAAAUAAAAUAACAAUUAAAUUUUGGUACCUUGUGCAUCAGGGUUUAUUAAAUAAAUAUUAUGAAGUUUAAUUUUCUCGAAUUUAAAAGAGCUAUAAAGUUAUAAUUUUUAUUGUUGAAUAAAUAUUAUUAAUAACUUUAUUGUAAUGAAACGUUAUUCGUUUUUGCAUAUAUCUAGUUUUUUAAGAAAAAAAUUUAAUUUUUUUAGUAAAAAUAUCCUUUUAAAUUUUUAAAUUGAUAUUAUUAUUAAUUAAUAUUUUUAGGGAUGAGCUUAAGAGUAGAUUUUUAUAAAUAAAUAUUAUAAUUUAAAUAAAUAGGAUUAUAAAUUUUCAUUUUUAGUAGUAUGUUAUAAUUAAUUUAAUUAAUCAUAAAAUUUAUAUUUAUUUUAAAUUUUUUAUUAAAGUAUUUACUUUAAUUUUUAAUGUAAAGUAAUAAUGAUAAAAUUAGUAUAAUUUAUUGUAUUGUUUAAAUAUAUUUAAGGUUAAAUAAAGGAAUUCGGCAAAUAAUUUUUCACCUGUUUAUUAAAAACAUGGCCUUUUGAUUUUAAUUUAAGGUCUCGCCUGCCCAAUGAUUAUUAUUGAAUGGCCGCGGUAUUUUGACCGUGCAAAGGUAGCAUAAUCAUUUGUUUUUUAAUUGAAAGCUAGAAUGAAGGGUUGUAUGAGAAAAUUACUGUCUCUGUUUAAAUUAAUUAGAACUUUAUUUUUAAGUUAAAAAGCUUAAUUAAUUUUUGAAGACGAGAAGACCCUAUAGAGUUUUAUAGUCUAAAAAUUUGAGUAGUUUAGGAUUAAUAUUAUUUAAUUUUGAGGAUUAUUUAAUUGGGGUGAUUGAAAAAUUUAUUAAACUUUUUUUUUAUAUAUACAUAAAUUAAUGAAUAAUUGAUCCUUUUUUAAAGAUUAAAAGAUUAAAUUACCUUAGGGAUAACAGCGUAAUUUUUUUUUAGAGUCCAAAUCAAAAAAAAAGAUUGCGACCUCGAUGUUGGAUUAAAAUUUAUACUUGGUGUAGCAGCUGAGUGGUUGGGUCUGUUCGACCUUUAAUAUUUUACUUGAUCUGAGUUCAAACCGGUGUAAGCCAGGUUGGUUUCUAUCUCGAAAAAUAAUAAAUAUUUUAGUACGAAAGGACCAGAUAUUUAAUUAAUAAUUUUUAGAAAGAAUAAUAUUAGUUAUUUUGGCAGAAUAGUGCAAUAGAUUUAGAAUCUAUAUAUGUAAUUUUUACAAAUAAUACUUGAUAUUAAAAGAUUUAUUUUUGAUGUUAAUUUCUAUGUUGAUUUUAAUUUUUUGUGUAAUAAUUGGGGUAGCCUUUUUAACUUUAUUAGAACGAAAAGUUUUAGGAUAUAUUCAAAUUC